RNAcentral lists this ribosomal RNA (404 nucleotides) under Actinomycetes bacterium. RNAcentral describes it as "Actinobacteria bacterium partial 16S ribosomal RNA". It matches the Rfam family "Bacterial small subunit ribosomal RNA", at positions 355 to 776 of the family's 1533-position model. Lineage: Bacteria; Bacillati; Actinomycetota; Actinomycetes. The record is from RNAcentral.
UGGGGAAUAUUGGACAAUGGGCGCAAGCCUGAUCCAGCCAUGCCGCGUGAGUGAUGAAGGCCCUAGGGUUGUAAAGCUCUUUCACCGGUGAAGAUAAUGACGGUAACCGGAGAAGAAGCCCCGGCUAACUUCGUGCCAGCAGCCGCGGUAAUACGAAGGGGGCUAGCGUUGUUCGGAUUUACUGGGCGUAAAGCGCACGUAGGCGGACUUUUAAGUCAGGGGUGAAAUCCCGGGGCUCAACCCCGGAACUGCCUUUGAUACUGGAAGUCUUGAGUAUGGUAGAGGUGAGUGGAAUUCCGAGUGUAGAGGUGAAAUUCGUAGAUAUUCGGAGGAACACCAGUGGCGAAGGCGGCUCACUAGACCAUUACUGACGCAAAGGUGCGAAAGCGUGGGGAGCAAACAGG